UACGUAGGGUGCAAGCGUUAAUCGGAAUUACUGGGCGUAAAGCGUGCGCAGGCGGUUCUAUAAGACAGAUGUGAAAUCCCCGGGCUCAACCUGGGAACUGCAUUUGUGACUGUAGAGCUGGAGUGCGGCAGAGGGGGAUGGAAUUCCGCGUGUAGCAGUGAAAUGCGUAGAUAUCGAGAGGAACACCAGUGGCGAAGGCGAGUCCCUGGACAACACCUGACACUGAGGCACGAAAGCUAGGGGAGCAAACAGG
RNAcentral lists this ribosomal RNA (253 nucleotides) under uncultured bacterium. RNAcentral describes it as "partial 16S ribosomal RNA". It matches the Rfam family "Bacterial small subunit ribosomal RNA", at positions 524 to 776 of the family's 1533-position model. The record is from RNAcentral.